GGAUAGCUCAGUCGGUAGAGCAUGAGACUCUUAAUCUCAAGGUUGGGGUUCGAGCCUCACCUUGGGCA
This 68-nucleotide transfer RNA is filed under the name Podarcis lilfordi (Lilford's wall lizard). Its description in RNAcentral is "tRNA.Lys". The stretch from base 4 to 59 matches the Rfam family "tRNA", at positions 8 to 63 of the family's 71-position model. From Rfam's summary of the family: Transfer RNA (tRNA) molecules are approximately 80 nucleotides in length. Their secondary structure includes four short double-helical elements and three loops (D, anti-codon, and T loops). Further hydrogen bonds mediate the characteristic L-shaped molecular structure. tRNAs have two regions of fundamental functional importance: the anti-codon, which is responsible for specific mRNA codon recognition, and the 3' end, to which the tRNAs corresponding amino acid is attached (by aminoacyl-tRNA synthetases). tRNAs cope with the degeneracy of the genetic code in two manners: having more than one tRNA (with a specific anti-codon) for a particular amino acid; and 'wobble' base-pairing, i.e. permitting non-standard base-pairing at the 3rd anti-codon position. The record is from RNAcentral. Lineage: Eukaryota; Metazoa; Chordata; Lepidosauria; Squamata; Lacertidae.